GAUGAACGCUGGCGGCAUGCCUAAUACAUGCAAGUCGAACGAGAGGAAGGAAAGCUUGCUUUCCUGAAUCUAGUGGCGAACGGGUGAGUAACACGUAGGUAACCUGCCCAUGUGCCCGGGAUAACUUCUGGAAACGGAUGCUAAAACCGGAUAGGUAGCAGACAAGCAUUUGACUGCUAUUAAAGUGGCCUUGGCCAUGAACAUGGAUGGACCUGCGGUGCAUUAGCUGGUUGGUGAGGUAACGGCCCACCAAGGCGACGAGGCAUAGCCGGCCUGAGAGGGCGGACGGCCACAUUGGGACUGAGACACGGCCCAAACUCCUACGGGAGGCAGCAGUAGGGAAUUUUCGUCAAUGGGGGGAACCCUGAACGAGCAAUGCCGCGUGAGUGAGGAAGGUCUUCGGAUCGUAAAGCUCUGUUGUAAGAGAAAAACGGCACUCAUAGGGAAUGAUGAGUGAGUGAUGGUAUCUUACCAGAAAGUCACGGCUAACUACGUGCCAGCCGCCGCUGUAA
This 512-nucleotide ribosomal RNA is filed under the name uncultured bacterium. RNAcentral's name for it is "partial 16S ribosomal RNA". It matches the Rfam family "Bacterial small subunit ribosomal RNA", at positions 28 to 523 of the family's 1533-position model. The record is from RNAcentral.